CCCGAGACGCGAUGCCUUUCCCAGAGAGUAGAGUUUAUGGCUGGCCGACUCGGCUGACGCACCUCAGCCAAGAGGACGAACUGGGACUGAGAGAGGAGCGGAGUCCUGCCCGGGCUGCGCCGGAAGCACCGGAGGCUAAGCAACACGAGCUGGCCGCCAUUGGUCCCGCCCCCUGUGACGUCCCAUGGCAGAGGCCUCAGGGAUUCUCCCGACUGCUUGGAGAGACUGAAUGGACCAAGAGGCAGACAGCUGUGACCCCAGUUGGCAUUGUCAUGUCUGAAGCUAUGCUUCUUUUCGCUUUUUACAAUGUCUCAAUCGUUUAUUGCCUAGUCUCCCUUCUACAUAAAGUAAGCCCAAAUAACACUCUGUAAUCCCCUCUCCUCGGACAUGGAAACUUGAACUUGCAACCAAACCCAGUUUUCACUGGGUAAGCUGAGCUGGUCUCACGCCAGUUUCUUCAGGAAACUGCUGAAGAAUAAUCAAAAUAAGGAUUAUACCUGAGUUGCUUCCACCUGGACAUUGGUACCCUGUUGAUUGACAUCAAGGGAGAGAAGUAGCAAGAAGGUGGUGUCUGAAGCAGCAAGUUUCGUGUCUGGAAAUGUGGUCCCAAGUACUUGCUCCACUACUUGUCCUUGUGGCUUUUUGGACUCAGCGCUCAAGCUGACACUUCAGACUCUUCAUCUGCAGAAAAUUGUGACAGGUAAGAUCUGUCAGUUUUUACUCCCUCUACCCAUGUAGUACCCAAAGCAUACCCUGACCUAAAAUAAAUACAUUAGAGCUAUUCUAGGUGACUCUGAGGAGGAAAAAAAACUGUAGUUUUGGAAUAAAAAAAAAAAUCAAGACUGAGAGUGAAAGAACUGUAAUGAGUUCCAUGGAUAUAAAGAUGGAUAUAAACUAAAAUGGAUAUAUGAAUGUCCAUCCUUUCCUACCCCCCCCCCCAAGGGAAAGGGGACUUUGCUGACAAUGCCUGCCUACUUCUUCCUGAGUGGAGUACUGAGUGGAGCUCUGGGGAAAUUUCAGGAUCAUACUUCAAAUAUGUCUAGGUAGAAGGGCUGCUUCGAGAGAGUUCAACCACACCAUAUAACAACAUCAAAACUCCCAUCCUGGGAGCCAGGAACCCAAAGACUGAAAACUAGCUACCAGAGUGGAAAAUGCCUACCUACCUCAGGCCGUGAGGACCUGAUGCCACUGGCAUCUUGUUGAGAGCACUGUCAGUAUAACACAAUAGGAGCUUCAAACAGAAAGAAGAUUUAUUCAUUAAUAUUCUGAUUUGGCAACUCUAGUGAACAGAGACAUGGGGGAACUGACUAGCGCUGAGCCACAUGUCAUCUUACAAGAUGGUGAAGGAGUCAAGUUCCCUGAAUCUCAAUUCACUCCCUCACCAGGUUCACCAGUACGCAUCAUGUUGUAUUUUGUCUGUGCUCAAUGGGUUUUGGGGGCCAGGAUGAUGGUAUAUGCCUUUAAUACUAGCUGAGUUUGAGGCAAGUCUGGGUUACAUAGUGAAACCUUGACUCAAAACAAAAAUGAUAAAUAAAAAUGUUUGUAGGAUGAAUAACUCAGGAGAAAAAUAUUCACUAAGGACUUUGGGUAUUAAUUCUCUUUGUAAAGUAAUAUUUAAGGUAUGCUAUAAAUGUACCCAUCAUUUAUUUAUUGAUUGAUUGAUUUAGUGUUUGGGUGUUUGGGUUUUUGGUCUGCAUUGUUGCCUGUGCACUUUGUAUGUACCUCGUGUCCACGGAGGCCAGAACUGGGCACUGGAUUUCUUGAACCUGGAGUUAGAGGAAGUUGUAAGUGGCCAUGUAAAUGCCGGAAAUGGAACCUGGGUCCUCUGCAAGAACAGCUAGCAUUUCCCCUACAAAUUGGUGUUAUUUGUCAGCAAUAUAUCUGAGCUUAAGGCAAGAAGCAUCAAUUCACAUUCUGGACUGGUGCUCUUAGCUAUUAAUAUUUAUAACACUAUUAAUUGUAAUGGUGAAGUUUCUCAUUCCUCAACACAUGGUGAGGAUGCAUUUACUUACUGUAACCCAGUGCCUUCGUGUAUGCAGACACACUGAUGAGUACUAGGCGGCUUCAGAUCCCAGAGACAGUUCUCAUCACAGUCUUGGAAUCUGGGAGAGCCCAGGUACAACUCCACAGAGAGGGAGACUUCUCACUGUGUCCUUAUAUGGCACAUAGCAAAGAGAUAAAGGACUGCACUUCAUUGAUAAUCCUGCCUAUGGGCUUUAUCCUAAAGGAUUUGCCUCUUAAUCCUGUUAUACAGAGGUACACGUUUCUGCAGGGAUUUGGGGACAUGCCUACAUUCAGAUCAAGGGUCUUUUCUCCCAGGUCACCUCUUUCUAUCUCUGGCUUGUCAGCCUUCAGAACAGUCCCUGCCACACAGCAAGAACUAUUAGGUUUGUAUGAAUGAUUCUUAGGCGCUUCCUACCUGGGCUCCAUUAUCACCAAACCUCUAAAGCAUAUUAUGUUAUUUUUUAACCUUGUCGUUUGGUUAGGUAUUAUUUUUUUAAUCUAUCUCUCUAAUUUAGUGGUUUUCAAAAUAGUAAACUCCCCGAGACAGAGUCUGACUUAGCCUCUGACACAGCACUUGCAUGAAGGAGCUGCUCAGGAAAUCAUCGAUUUGAAUAAUAACUGAAAUUUUUAUUGUGCUAGAGCUAAGA
Mus caroli (Ryukyu mouse) is the source of this 2651-nucleotide non-coding RNA. The record is from RefSeq and is a predicted model, not a curated record. NCBI's taxonomy places the organism in Eukaryota, Metazoa, Chordata, Mammalia, Rodentia, Muridae.